CAGCAGCGGGGAAUUAUGGACAAUGGGGGCAACCGUUAUCCAGCAAAGCCGCUCGUGGGAAGAAGGCCUUCGUGUUGUAAACCACCUUUGUCAGGGAAGAAAUUGGCCUGGUUAAUACCCUGGCUGGAUGUCGGUACCGGCAGAAUAACCUCCGGCUGACUUCCUA
This 166-nucleotide ribosomal RNA is filed under the name uncultured bacterium. RNAcentral's name for it is "partial 16S ribosomal RNA". It matches the Rfam family "Bacterial small subunit ribosomal RNA", at positions 349 to 507 of the family's 1533-position model. The record is from RNAcentral.